RNAcentral lists this ribosomal RNA (305 nucleotides) under uncultured bacterium. RNAcentral describes it as "bacterial SSU rRNA". It matches the Rfam family "Bacterial small subunit ribosomal RNA", at positions 337 to 634 of the family's 1533-position model. The record is from RNAcentral.
ACCUACGGGGCGCAGCAGUAGGGAAUCUUCCACAAUGGGCGAAAGCCUGAUGGAGCAACGCCGCGUGGGUGAAGAAGGUCUUCGGAUCGUAAAACCCUGUUGUUAGAGAAGAAAGUGCGUGAGAGUAACUGUUCACGUUUCGACGGUAUCUAACCAGAAAGCCACGGCUAACUACGUGCCAGCAGCCGCGGUAAUACGUAGGUGGCAAGCGUUAUCCGGAUUUAUUGGGCGUAAAGGGAACGCAGGCGGUCUUUUAAGUCUGAUGUGAAAGCCUUCGGCUUAACCGGAGUAGGGAAUUGGAAACG